AUACGGAGGGUGCGAGCGUUAAUCGGAAUUACUGGGCGUAAAGCGUACGUAGGCGGUUGGUUAAGUUAGAUGUGAAAGCCCCGGGCUUAACCUGGGAACUGUAUUUAAAACUGGCGAACUAGAGUUGAGUAGAGGGGAGUGGAAUUUCAGGUGUAGCGGUGAAAUGCGUAGAGAUCUGAAGGAACACCAGUGGCGAAGGCGACUCCCUGGACUCGAACUGACGCUGAGGUACGAAAGCGUGGGUAGCAAACGGGAUUAGAAACCCUAGUAGUCC
Molecule: ribosomal RNA, 274 nt
Filed under: uncultured bacterium
Lineage: Bacteria
Description: partial 16S ribosomal RNA
Rfam family: Bacterial small subunit ribosomal RNA
Source: RNAcentral